Molecule: ribosomal RNA, 253 nt
Filed under: uncultured bacterium
Lineage: Bacteria
Description: partial 16S ribosomal RNA
Rfam family: Bacterial small subunit ribosomal RNA
Source: RNAcentral
GACAGAGGGUGCAAACGUUGUUCGGAAUUACUGGGCGUAAAGCGAGUGUAGGCGGUCUGAAAAGUCGGGUGUGAAAGCCCCGGGCUCAACCCGGGAAGUGCACUCGAAACUGCCAGGCUAGAGUAUCGGAGAGGUUGGUGGAAUUCUCGGUGUAGAGGUGAAAUUCGUAGAUAUCGGGAGGAACACCAGUGGCGAAGGCGACUACCUGGCCUGUUCUUGACGCUGAGGCGCGAAAGCUAGGGGAGCAAACGGG